This 1362-nucleotide long non-coding RNA is filed under the name Anser cygnoides (Swan goose). RNAcentral describes it as "lncRNA (ENSACDG00005011539.1)". Lineage: Eukaryota; Metazoa; Chordata; Aves; Anseriformes; Anatidae. The record is from RNAcentral.
UCUUACAUGUGAACUUGGAGUUCCUCUGUCCUGUGCUCAGACCAUCGAUCAAUUCAAUAUCCACUGUGACUUCUUAAGCUAGGCUUAGCUAAUGCAGGAACAAAACCAGCAUACUAAAAAAGUUUCUACCAUUGUCAGUGUGAGACAAUAUAAGCACUAAGACAACAAAAAAUACAGGCUUUCCUAAGUUUACAGGGGAAGCAUGAGGAAAAACACAUUUCAUCGGGCACGCAACCCAAAAGAAAAACCGAUUGCUUUGAACAGCAGAAAGGCAUCUCAGCCAGGAAGUCUAAACCUGCAGACCUUUUUUCAUUCAGGUGGUAGUUUUAUGGGGGAAAAGGCUCAUUUUGCUUCCUAUACCAAAUCAUCUGUUGUCCUCAGUGCCCCGCAACACCCUUCUCUUGGUCACCUCCCUCACCCUUGGCAGCGUCACCCUGGGCCCAGGGGCUGCUGCUGCAGCAUUUGCGCGUGGCGCUGAGUGCCAGAGAGUCAGGCAGCACUUGUUUGCCACAUGGAGGCUUGCAUGUCAAGUCCACAGUUAGAACUGGCAGAUCUCAGUAACGUGUACGCAGACCCAAGAGACCAAGGAGACGGAUGGAGGAGAAAAAUUCCAAUCAUUGCCACUGAUAUAGCAGGCAGCCGUCCAUCUCUCGCUUGGCCUGUACCCAUCAGUCGGCAGCUUCUCCCAUGCUCAUGCAAUCUCCAUGUACCAAGUACCUCAGUGGCAUUUGUAGUUAAUCAUUAAAAUGAGCUGCAACCUGGCCUUUAAUCCAAACGCUGCACUGCCUGAGUGCUCAGCGUGCUUUAAAAUUUUAGUGGUUUGGGCUUGGGAGCAACGUUACCCAGACAAAUUCUGGUACAAGUUGGAAGUAACAACUGUAGCUUAGGGUCUGGUAAUCUUUUCCCUGAACCACACGAAUGGUACCACAGAAAACUGAAAGCUUUGUCAAAUUGCAGGUGAUUCUUUCCUGUACUGUUUUUAGUAAAAGAACUUCCUUUCUCAGUGGUGUAAAAGAUUUCAAAAUGCAAAUCUGUCAUUCUGUUCCCCCUCCCUCUCCUCCCCUGCCCCAAAAUGGGACUCAAACCCCAAAACAAUCAACUAUUGGGGAAGUCUGGCUGUCUCCCUUUGAACUUCCCCACAUAUCGCUUAAAGCACCUAGCUUCAGAAAGGGAAAUGUAUGUUAAAGUGCAUUUACCACAGCAAUAGUACCAGCACUAAAAGCUUUUCCCCUCAUCCCUGUUCUCGCCGUUCAAUGUCUGGGAUAGAUGACGAUCUUCCCGUAACUCAUCCUCUUUGUACCUUGAAGUCUCAGUGUAUCUCCAUCUAUUUAUGACGCUGGAAUAAAAGAAAAUCCAGCGUCA